RNAcentral lists this ribosomal RNA (800 nucleotides) under uncultured archaeon. RNAcentral's name for it is "bacterial SSU rRNA". It matches the Rfam family "Archaeal small subunit ribosomal RNA", at positions 29 to 828 of the family's 1478-position model. The record is from RNAcentral.
UUUUCUGGGGGUCGAUUAAGCCAUGCAGUCGAACGAACCUUGUGUUCGUGGCGAACGGCUCAGUAACACGUGGAUAACCUGCCCUUGGGACCGGGAUAACCCCGGGAAACUGGGGAUAAACCCGGAUAGGUGGUGCUGCCUGGAAUGGUUCUUCACCGAAACACCUUCGGGUGCCCAAGGAUGGGUCUGCGGCCGAUUAGGUUGUUGGUAGGGUAACGGCCUACCAAGCCGAUCAUCGGUACGGGUUGUGAGAGCAAGAGCCCGGAGAUGGAACCUGAGACAAGGCUCCAGGCCCUACGGGGCGCAGCAGGCGCGAAACCUCCGCAAUGCACGCAAGUGCGACGGGGGAACCCCAAGUGCCACUCUUAACGGGGUGGCUUUUCAGAAGUGUAAAAAGCUUCUGGAAUAAGGGCUGGGCAAGACCGGUGCCAGCCGCCGCGGUAACACCGGCAGCUCAAGUGGUAGCCGCUUUUAUUGGGCCUAAAGCGUCCGUAGCCGGUCUGAUAAGUCUCUGGUGAAAUCCCACAGCUUAACUGUGGGAAUUGCUGGAGAUACUACCAUGACUCGAGGUCGGGAGAGGCUGGAGGUACUCCCAGGGUAGGGGUGGAAUCCUGUAAUCCUGGGAGGACCACCUGUGGCGAAGGCGUCCAGCUGGAACGAACCUGACGGUGAGGGACGAAAGCCAGGGGCGCGAACCGGAUUAGAUACCCGGGUAGUCCUGGCCGUUAACGAUGUGGACUUGGUGUUGGGGUGGCUUCGAGCUGCCCCAGUGCCGAAGGGAAGCUGUUAAGUCCACCGCC